GAGGCCUCUCGCUAACGGUCGCGCGGCCGUCGCACCUGCACGCGUCUGUGUGCCGAGCGUCGUGUGGAAAAGCCGCGAAGCGCGGGCGACUCGGGGGUCGGGCGAGCCAGGUCCGCGAGGUCGCGGCUGCCGCUGUGCAGGGCCGGGAAGCAGUCGCCCCGGAGAGCCUCGGAUAAAACAAUGGCAAACUCCUUUGCAUCAAGGACCCUCACUGCCCUUUCAGAUCUGCAGCCAAAUAUGGCUAAUCUGAAAAUAAUCGGUAUAGUUAUCGGGAAAACAGAUGUCAGAGGAUUUCCAGACAGAAAAAGCUGAGUUCUCUUUAACUCUUUGCUUCAUUUUUCAUCAACUUUGGCUUUUGACUAUAACAAAGUCUAUUUAAGAGAUUAAUUUUCUU
Long non-coding RNA from Sapajus apella (tufted capuchin), 394 nucleotides. RefSeq lists it as uncharacterized. Lineage: Eukaryota; Metazoa; Chordata; Mammalia; Primates; Cebidae. The record is from RefSeq and is a predicted model, not a curated record. The transcript is spliced from 3 exons.